This 1330-nucleotide long non-coding RNA is filed under the name Homo sapiens (human). RNAcentral's name for it is "HSALNT0311849". The record is from RNAcentral. Lineage: Eukaryota; Metazoa; Chordata; Mammalia; Primates; Hominidae.
CAAAGAGCUGGGAGAAGCCGCAGCAGAGAGUCUGAGAGGCAUCUACAUCACCUUUUUCCCUGAGAAGGACUUGGUGAGGGCGCUUCCCAGGAGGUCGUUGGUGAUGAAAGAGGCCUCAGCAUCCAGCAUGCUGAUUCCCUGAGGCUCGAAGAUGUCUACCUCGAUCUGAAAUGGCCAAAGUAAGGAAAUGUCACUCAGUGACCUCAGAGGCCAGUUCCCAGAACAAGGCCAAUGGGAAUGAGAUGGGUCUGUGGUGAUGCAGGGACCCUCUAGGACAGUGCUGAGGGCCAAGCCUGGUGUCUCCCACUGCGAAAGUGACCACAGGGGCUUGGAGGAGAGUAUGCUGAUCGGGAGGUGUUACCACCGCCUGCCAUAUGCGCCCGAAAUUCCACCACUGAUGCUUUUCCUUUGGCUUUCAGCUUUGAGGUAGGAAAAAUGCCCAUGUGCCCAGUGAGAAGCCUUACAGAGGCACUUGCUGGUGUUGCUCUUGAGGGCCCAGCACCGAAUCUGCAUCUGUGGAGUCCAUCCCAGCCUCUUCCCCUUGGCCCCAGAUGCUUUUGGCCAGAACCAUUGAAUUCCUCCAGCCUUCCCAGCCAAGGAUGGGGGAUGCCGUGAGGCAGAACUUUUGUUUUUGACCCCUGUCUGAGACUGCCCCAUGGGCGGGUUCCUGCACCCCGCUGCCGUCCCCCCAGGUCUGCAGGGGCGGUUGAUUACCUCAAAGUGUUUGACCAGUUGCUUAGGCUGGACCUUGAGGUACAUCUCGUACUUGCCCUUGUGCCUCUUCAGCAGCUCCUCGUAGGUUAGCUCGAAGGUGACUUUGCUGCCUGCAGCCACGUUGACCGAGACUGUGAACUUCUCCAACUUCCUCCCAGAGGCCCUGACCAGGGUGCGAGAUGGUGACUCCCUCAAAGACUGCAGGAGCCCACCCUUCCUCGGCCCUCGGCCCCAGGCCCAGCCCUUUGGCGAGGGAGAUCCCUAACCAUUCUGAGCCUCACUUGCCUCAGCCUCAACGUGGGAUAAUGGCAAAAUUAUGGGCACAUUUUGCUAUACCAAUAAUAAUAGCUGUUGUUGUUGUUUGUAGCCCUGAAGGCCCUUGGAUCCCAGACAUUCUCCCCAAGGCCUGGGAGUCCAUACUUACUUGACCAAGCCGGCCGUCUUGCCCUGGGACACAGCCUUUUCAUACUGCUUCUUGGCAACUUCCUUCUCCUUGACAUUCCCAGGGUAGGUAACACCGUCGAUGGUCCUGCAGGGAAAGAGAGUUGGGGGUAGGGAGAUCACACUGGGCCAGACCCCCUGUUCCCGAGCCCAGAGCCAGCAGCCAUGGUGGUAC